AUACGUAGGGGGCGAGCGUUGUCCGGAAUGAUUGGGCGUAAAGGGCGCGUAGGCGGCCCGGUAAGUCUGGAGUGAAAGUCCUGUUUUUAAGAUGGGAAUUGCUUUGGAUACUGUCGGGCUUGAGUGCCGGAGAGGAAAGUGGAAUUCCCAGUGUAGCGGUGAAAUGCGUAGAGAUUGGGAGGAACACCAGUGGCGAAGGCGACUUACUGGACUGUAACUGACGCUGAGGCGCGAAAGUGUGGGGAGCAAACAGGAUUAGAUACCCUGGUAGUCCACACUGUAAACGAUGAAUGCUAGGUGUAGGGGGUAUCGACCCCUUCUGUGCCGCAGUCAACACAAUAAGCAUUCCGCCUGGGGAGUACGGCCGCAAGGUUGAAACUCAAAGGAAUUGACGGGG
This 397-nucleotide ribosomal RNA is filed under the name uncultured bacterium. Its description in RNAcentral is "partial 16S ribosomal RNA". It matches the Rfam family "Bacterial small subunit ribosomal RNA", at positions 523 to 918 of the family's 1533-position model. The record is from RNAcentral.